UACGAAGGGGGCUAGCGUUGUUCGGAAUUACUGGGCGUAAAGCGCACGCAGGCGGCUUGUCUAGUCAGAAGUGAAAGCCCGGGGCUUAACCCCGGAAUAGCUCUUGAUACUGGCAGGCUUGAAUCACGGAGAGGGUAGUGGAAUUCCGAGUGUAGAGGUGAAAUUCGUAGAUAUUCGGAAGAACACCAGUGGCGAAGGCGACUACCUGGCCGUUGAUUGACGCUCAUGUGCGAAAGCGUGGGGAGCAAACAGG
This 253-nucleotide ribosomal RNA is filed under the name uncultured bacterium. RNAcentral's name for it is "partial 16S ribosomal RNA". It matches the Rfam family "Bacterial small subunit ribosomal RNA", at positions 524 to 776 of the family's 1533-position model. The record is from RNAcentral.